Long non-coding RNA from Lolium perenne, 1047 nucleotides. RefSeq lists it as uncharacterized. The record is from RefSeq and is a predicted model, not a curated record. Lineage: Eukaryota; Viridiplantae; Streptophyta; Magnoliopsida; Poales; Poaceae.
UAACUCCUCGUGAUCUUGUCGCCUUGCCGUUCCUAACACUCCAUGCUCUGAGAUCAGUAUACAAUAUCUUAGGUCGAUCGGGACGGAAUACUGCUGCACUUCAACGCGUGAAAUAAAUGAAGGAUUUUGACCUGUGAUCGAGAGGCAUGUGAUCAUGUUGGCGGGCGGGAAUUCAGAGGAGGAAUUCAGCUAGCUCAAUGGAUAUAUCUUGGGAAAAGAAUCCCGAAUUCUAAUUAGUGCCGGGGCACUCUGUUGUGUUACAGGGUGCUCCCCACCCGCGCCCUUCGAUCUUCAGCUAACGGUGUAUACCAAGCGGUGGCUUUUAUGGGAAGUCUGUGGUGUACGUGGCCAGGCUGUCACGGAAUAAAUCCUCGUCUUCCUCUCGCCGCCUGUUCUUCAUCGUCAAAACUCCAUGUACAGUAUCCCAAGUCCCGACACAGGAACCAGAGGUGGUGGACUGGUGAUGGUGCGCAUCUGACGACGCCCGCCCGGCCCCGGCACACUCAACCUCCGCCGGUGGCUCACCCGCUUGGCCCCGGCGCGCUCGACCUUCGCCGGCCACUCACCUGCCCGGCCCUUGCGCGCCGGACCUUCGCCGGCGAUUCACCUGCUCGGCCCCGAUGGAGUCGGCGCUCGACGCCGUCUUCCUUGCGCCGGAUCUCGACCGCGUCGGCCGGAUCAGAUUCUACGAAUUGGUGAGCUAUCAUGCUGGAUGUAUUUUUCGUAACGGGAUCGUCUACUUUUCAAUGUUUUCCCCUCAAUUCUGGAUACAGUAUUGUAACUGGAUGUAAGAGUACCAAUUGUUUCCCCAAUUUUGGAUGUAUAUUUUUGCAACUGCAUGUAAUUUUCCUACAUUUUUUACAUUCCGAAGUGAUGAAAAGCUCGAGAUGUAUUUUUUCCUCAAUUGUAGAUGAGAGUAUGAGACUCGCGCAUCUAAAUGUAUUUUUUUGUCAUUUUCUACAUCCAGACUCUUGAAUGGAUCAAGACAUCAAACACUAUUAUGUUUUGUAAUCCCAGUUUUGAUGCAUCUGGAUGUAUUUUUUUUUA